CUCGCCAACUGCGCUAAACGGGAACUUUAAUAUACAUGAGUUUCCAGGCGGAAUGUAAAAUCUGUACCACUAUGAUCUCCAGUAGCAGCCCCAGCCGUGGGAGGCAGAUUCAUGAUGCACCUAUGGCCUUAAUUAUCUCUGAACAUCCCAAUCUCACAUGACCUAUAGGGCGGGGAUGUAUAUAAAUGAUCAUUAAAUCCCACAAACCAAGGAGCGGUUAUAUUGGAGUCAAUUUUAUUGGUUCGUGUUCAGUGUCAAGCAGUAUUCUAGCAAUCAAGCCAAGUCAGCGCAGCAGCAACAACAGAUGCAGCAGCAGUCGUACGCAAUACAUCAACAACACUGGAAAACCGGAUAACAAAGCGUUGAUUUUGUUCUGGAUGCAUUAGCAGUCACAGUACAUGAACCGACAGUAGUCAUUGUCUCGAGAUUCUAAGGCCUCUGAACCAUCAGUCUAUGAACAUAAUGCAGAGCAAU
Molecule: long non-coding RNA, 474 nt
Organism: Dreissena polymorpha
Lineage: Eukaryota; Metazoa; Mollusca; Bivalvia; Myida; Dreissenidae
Exons: 3
Source: RefSeq, a predicted model, not a curated record